RNAcentral lists this long non-coding RNA (1081 nucleotides) under Rattus norvegicus (Norway rat). RNAcentral describes it as "long non-coding RNA NONRATT006189". Lineage: Eukaryota; Metazoa; Chordata; Mammalia; Rodentia; Muridae. The record is from RNAcentral.
CGUCAGGGCCUCUGGUGAUCUCUAGCACAAAGAAUGGAGCUUCCCCUCUUCGACGUUGGUGGCUGCGGUAGAAGGUUUCCUGGUAUGUGUUUUAUGACCUUACUGCCCUUUGGUCAACAACCAGAGCUUGAGCUUCAGAGCCCAGCAAGGCAGAGCCACAGCAGAUCCCCUGGAAAUGGAGCAGAGAGCCAGGAAUCAAAUAUGGGUCCUCUUUAAGAUCGUCAACAGCCAGGCCCUGGGUUCGGUCCCCAGCUCCAAAAAAAAGAACCAUAAAAAAAAAAAAAAAAAAAAGAUCGUCAACAGCCCUUAAUAAUAGCUGAGCUUUCUCUAGCCUCUUGAUAAUAUUAGUUGAGACAAGAAGAUCCACUGUGGGUGGAACCAUUCCCUAGACAAGGUAUCCAGAACUGUGUAAGAAGAGGAAGCAAGCUGAGUAUAGGCAUGCUUGCAUUUACUACUCUUCUGACUACAGAUCUAUAGGCUGGUUUCCCCAAACUCCUGCAGCCGAGCCUUCCUGCUGUGAUGGUCGGUAGCAACCUGGACCUGUGAGCUACAAUGAAGCCUUUCUCUCCCAGCUUGUUUUCAUCAGGGUGUUUUUGUCCUGUCUCAAAACACUUCGCUGAGCAAAUACAAAGUAGGUUUUCAAAGAGGUAAUGGCUUUGUAGGUUGUUUACCUCUGGCCUCAAGUCAAGGAAGACAAGAUGGGUCCUGAGAUCUUAAUCUCAGGAAUACUUUCUGGCAUAGCUGUUUCAAGAAGCGAUGGUCCGCACAACACCAAGUCCUGCUGUCUUUUCGAGGGGCACACUUUCCACUCUGGGAGAUGCUGGCACAGAGGCAGGCCGAUGGUACGAUGGUACCACCCACCUCCCUCGUUCAGCAUCCAGUCACCCCAUCUGGGGACCCCGAAGGAGGAAGCACCUGCUCGCCCUGACUUGAAUCUGCAGAUUGCUCGCCAUCCAAAAUGAGUCACGGAGGCACUGUGCAGCGGAUUUAACUCACCCCCCAGGAAUGGACUCUUGGAAGGCUCCCGAGUGACUAGUUUCAAGUGUUCUGUCUCAGGCACAGGGCAUUUCAUCCCUCUGUG